AUUGAACGCUGGCGGCAGGCCUAACACAUGCAAGUCGAACGGUAACAGGAGGAAGCUUGCUUCUUUGCUGACGAGUGGCGGACGGGUGAGUAAUGUCUAGGAAACUGCCUGAUGGAGGGGGAUAACUACUGGAAACGGUAGCUAAUACCGCAUAACGUCGCAAGACCAAAGAGGGGGACCUUCGGGCCUCUUGCCAUCGGAUGUGCCCAGAUGGGAUUAGCUGGUAGGUGGGGUAACGGCUCACCUAGGCGACGAUCCCUAGCUGGUCUGAGAGGAUGACCAGCCACACUGGAACUGAGACACGGUCCAGACUCCUACGGGAGGCAGCAGUGGGGAAUAUUGCACAAUGGGCGCAAGCCUGAUGCAGCCAUGCCGCGUGUAUGAAGAAGGCCUUCGGGUUGUAAAGUACUUUCAGCGGGGAGGAAGGGAGUAAAGUUAAUACCUUUGCUCAUUGACGUUACCCGCAGAAGAAGCACCGGCUAACUCCGUG
Molecule: ribosomal RNA, 490 nt
Filed under: uncultured bacterium
Lineage: Bacteria
Description: partial 16S ribosomal RNA
Rfam family: Bacterial small subunit ribosomal RNA
Source: RNAcentral